This 240-nucleotide unclassified non-coding RNA is filed under the name soil metagenome. Its description in RNAcentral is "partial contains 5.8S ribosomal RNA, internal transcribed spacer 2, and large subunit ribosomal RNA". The record is from RNAcentral.
AACCUAGCACACCUGCGGUGUGUACCUGCGGAGGGAUCAUCAUUGAAAACCAAUUUGACCAAGGGGUUUGCUUGAGAGGGGAGGGGGAUAAAAACUCUGCAUUUUGUUUCCCAAGCCUUGAGGGUGGCCUCUUGGACAAACAACCAAUCUUCAUGACUAGGAAAAACAAUACACAGUGGUUUGGUUGGGGGGCUGACACAAGUUCUUGUCUGACAAGUAGCUUACUGAUUUGGAGCAUGA